Non-coding RNA from Pelobates cultripes (western spadefoot toad), 252 nucleotides. NCBI's taxonomy places the organism in Eukaryota, Metazoa, Chordata, Amphibia, Anura, Pelobatidae. The record is from the annotation of a GenBank genome assembly.
CCCAGAGGUUAUACCCAGGUUAACCCUGGAGCGGACGGUGCACCACCCAUGUAUGUCACAUUUAACCCCUCCCAAGCCGCCACCUUUGUAACCUCACUCCCUGAUCCUGAAAAGCAUCCCAUGCCCUUUUUCCGAAGAAUGGCUCAGAUUCGAAAAACAUUCCGCUGCAUGGCGGGAUCUUUUAAGUUUGAGUGAAAUUAAAGCUGGGGAUGCAUACUGGCCAAUCAUGGCGAGGAGCUUUAAUGAUGCUCC